RNAcentral lists this unclassified non-coding RNA (181 nucleotides) under uncultured Penicillium. RNAcentral's name for it is "sequence contains ITS1". The record is from RNAcentral. Lineage: Eukaryota; Fungi; Ascomycota; Eurotiomycetes; Eurotiales; Aspergillaceae.
CCGAGUGAGGGCCCUUUGGGUCCAACCUCCCACCCGUGUUUAUUUACCUCGUUGCUUCGGCGGGCCCGCCUUAACUGGCCGCCGCGGGGGGCUUAAACCCCCCCCCCGGGCCCGCGCCCGCCGAAGACACCCUCGAACUCUGUCUGAAGAUUGUAGUCUGAGUGAAAAUAUAAAUUAUUUA